GAUGAACGCUAGCGGGAGGCCUAACACAUGCAAGCCGAGCGGGAUUUGUUGGUUAGCUUGCUAACUAACAAUGAGAGCGGCGUACGGGUGCGUAGCACGUGUGCAACCUGCCUUUAUCUGGGGGAUAGCCUUUCGAAAGGAAGAUUAAUACCCCAUAACAUAUUGAUUGGCAUCAGUUAAUAUUGAAAGCUCCGGCGGAUAGAGAUGGGCACGCGUAAGAUUAGCUAGUUGGUGAGGUAACGGCUCACCAAGGCUGCGAUCUUUAGGGGGCCUGAGAGGGUGAUCCCCCACACUGGUACUGAGACACGGACCAGACUCCUACGGGAGGCAGCAGUGAGGAGUAUUGGACAAUGGGUGAGAGCCUGAUCCAGCCAUCCCGCGUGAAGGACUAAGGACCUAUGGUUUGUAAACUUCUUUUAUACAGGGAUAAACCUACUCUCGUGAGGGUAGCUGAAGGUACUGUAUGAAUAAGCACCGGCUAACUCCGUG
This 489-nucleotide ribosomal RNA is filed under the name uncultured bacterium. RNAcentral's name for it is "partial 16S ribosomal RNA". It matches the Rfam family "Bacterial small subunit ribosomal RNA", at positions 28 to 507 of the family's 1533-position model. The record is from RNAcentral.